UGGGGUCAAUGCAGAUUCCCCGCCGUCGUCAAGACGCCUCGCGUCCAAAUUCUGC
Molecule: non-coding RNA, 55 nt
Filed under: unclassified sequences
Description: chromate-resist RNA
Rfam family: chrB-b RNA
Source: RNAcentral